UACGUAGGGUGCAAGCGUUGUCCGGAAUUAUUGGGCGUAAAGAGCUCGUAGGCGGUCUGUCACGUCGGCUGUGAAAACCCGAGGCUCAACCUCGGGCCUGCAGUGGGUACGGGCAGACUAGAGUGCGGUAGGGGAGAAUGGAACUCCUGGUGUAGCGGUGGAAUGCGCAGAUAUCAGGAAGAACACCGAUGGCGAAGGCAGUUCUCUGGGCCGUAACUGACGCUGAGGAGCGAAAGCGUGGGGAGCGAACAGG
Molecule: ribosomal RNA, 253 nt
Filed under: uncultured bacterium
Lineage: Bacteria
Description: partial 16S ribosomal RNA
Rfam family: Bacterial small subunit ribosomal RNA
Source: RNAcentral